Molecule: ribosomal RNA, 535 nt
Filed under: uncultured eukaryote
Lineage: Eukaryota
Description: bacterial SSU rRNA
Rfam family: Eukaryotic small subunit ribosomal RNA
Source: RNAcentral
UCGUAGUUGAACGUUCGGGUUCCGCGGGACGGGGCCGCCCCGCGAGGGACGGCGCCGCCCCCGGGGCUCGUGAUAUCUUAUCUCGCCGCCCGUCGCGAGGCGGACGGAGGGAUGGAUGAGGUUACCUGGAAAAAAUCGGGGCGAUCUAGGCGGGCGAACCUCGCCAACGAACGAUCGGACAUGGGAUAACGGAAGAGGGCGUCGGCUCGACUUCGUCGGUUCCUCGGGCCGAGGCACGUACGGUGAAUAGGGACGGUCGGGGCCGCCCGUACCGGGUCGUGAGAGGUGAAAUUCUAGGAUCGACCCGAGACGAACUGCCGCGAAAGCAUUCGGCAAGGACGCUUUCAUUAAUCAAGAACGAAAGUCGGGGGAUCGAAGACGAUCAGAUAUCGUCGUAGUCCGACCGUAAACGAUGCCGACCGAGGGCCCGGAGGAGUUACGUACGACCCUCCGGGCCCUCCCGCGAGAAAUCAGGAGUAUUCGGGUUCCGGGGGGAGUAUGGUCGCAAGGCCGAAACUUAAAAGGAAUUAGACGG